GCGGGUGCGGCGGCGGCAGCAGCAGCUCCGGACGCUGGCGGUGUAGACACCCCUGGGUCAGGACCCGGAYCCUGGACUGGCCGCCGGGCAGCUGUGGAACCCAGGGUUCUGAGCCUAAUGGUAGACGCCUACUCAGGGCCGGAAGCUUUGAGACCAGUGGCCCUCGGUGCUUGAGAAGAGAAGGACGCCUGAAAGGGAAGGAAAAGCCCUUGAGUCUUGCAACAUUUUGACUCUUGUCUGUAGCUUCAGGCAGGAAGUAAGAACAGUACUCAAGUGGCAGGAGAUCCUGGCUGCGACUUCAGUUUACAGCUUGACACGGCAGUGUAAUGGAAAGCAGUUUAGAUUUGACACCUUUUGGCAGCAGUUGAUCUCCAACCCUGUGGCCUUAGCAAAGCCUCAUGCUUUCUACAGACCUUUGCUCUUGGAAGAAGCAGGUUGGGUGUGUGAGCAGAGCUGGCGUCCAAACUGA
Molecule: long non-coding RNA, 469 nt
Filed under: Urocitellus parryii (Arctic ground squirrel)
Lineage: Eukaryota; Metazoa; Chordata; Mammalia; Rodentia; Sciuridae
Description: lncRNA (ENSUPAG00010016893.1)
Source: RNAcentral